This 497-nucleotide ribosomal RNA is filed under the name uncultured bacterium. Its description in RNAcentral is "partial 16S ribosomal RNA". It matches the Rfam family "Bacterial small subunit ribosomal RNA", at positions 28 to 507 of the family's 1533-position model. The record is from RNAcentral.
GAUGAACGCUGGCGGCGUGCCUAAUACAUGCAAGUCGAGCGAACGGACGAGAAGAUUGCUUCUCUGAUGUUAGCGGCGGACGGGUGAGUAACACGUGGAUAACCUACCUAUAAGACUGGGAUAACUUCGGGAAACCGGAGCUAAUACCGGCUAAUAUUUUGAACCGCAUGGUUCAAAAGUGAAAGACGGUCUUGCUGUCACUUAUAGCUGGAUCCGCGCUGCAUUAGCUAGUUGGUAAGGUAACGGCUUACCAAGGCAACGAUGCAUAGCCGACCUGAGAGGGUGAUCGGCCACACUGGAACUGAGACACGGUCCAGACUCCUACGGGAGGCAGCAGUAGGGAAUCUUCCGCAAUGGGCGAAAGCCUGACGGAGCAACGCCGCGUGAGUGAUGAAGGUCUUCGGAUCGUAAAACUCUGUUAUUAGGGAAGAACAUAUGUGUAAGUAACUGUGCACAUCUUGACGGUACCUAAUCAGAAAGCCACGGCUAACUACGUG